Molecule: unclassified non-coding RNA, 348 nt
Filed under: soil metagenome
Description: partial contains 5.8S ribosomal RNA, internal transcribed spacer 2, and large subunit ribosomal RNA
Rfam family: 5.8S ribosomal RNA (bases 1-120)
Source: RNAcentral
GAUGAAGAACGCAGCGAAAUGCGAUAAGUAAUGUGAAUUGCAGAAUUCAGUGAAUCAUCGAAUCUUUGAACGCACAUUGCGCCCGCCAGUAUUCUGGCGGGCAUGCCUGUCUGAGCGUCAUUUCAACCCUCAUGCCCCUAGGGUGUGGUGUUGGGGAUCGGCCAAAGCCCGCGAGGGACGGCCGGCCCCUAAAUCUAGUGGCGGACCCGUCGUGGCCUCCUCUGCGAAGUAGUGAUAUUCCGCAUCGGAGAGCGACGAGCCCCUGCCGUUAAACCCCCAACUUUCCAAGGUUGACCUCAGAUCAGGUAGGAAUACCCGCUGAACUUAAGCAUAUCAAUAAGCGGAGGA